GAUCAGUAUCCUGAGAAGAAGGAUGUGUAACACUGCCCUCCCUGUCUCUGCCUGGAGCACCACCCUGCUCUCUUGGGUUGCUGUCUCUCUCCUGGGAACAAGUUCAACAAAUUCUGGGGUUGUCCAGUCUCCAAGACACAUAAUCAAAGAAAAGGGAGGAAGGUCUAUUCUGAAAUGUAUUCCCAUCUCUGGACAUCUCAGUGUGGCCUGGUACCAACAGACUCAGGGGCAGGAACUAAAGUUCCUUAUUCACCAUUAUGAUAAAAUGGAGAGAGAUAAAGGAAAGCUGCCCAGCAGAUUCUCAGUCCAGCAGUUCAGUGACUAUCACUCUGAGAUGAACAUGAGUGCCUUGGAGCUGGAUGACUCUGCAGUAUAUUUCUGUGCCAGUUCUCUCCACAGCCUUACAAAGCUACUGGCUUUCUGUAACUUAAUCUUUCUGUUCCACCUGGUGAUAUACUAGAGAGGGGUUGGAUGAUGCCACAAAACCAUAGCCAAAGAUCAGAAAUGCUUCUAUCUUGUUACUAAUCCUCUGACUGCCUAGCUGAGCACACACAGACCAAUACCACACAUUGGGAUGGGCCAACGCCCUCCAGCUAUUCUCAGAUCUCUGCUAAUACCUU
Mastomys coucha (southern multimammate mouse) is the source of this 620-nucleotide non-coding RNA. Lineage: Eukaryota; Metazoa; Chordata; Mammalia; Rodentia; Muridae. The record is from the annotation of a RefSeq genome assembly.